RNAcentral lists this ribosomal RNA (303 nucleotides) under uncultured bacterium. Its description in RNAcentral is "partial 16S ribosomal RNA". It matches the Rfam family "Bacterial small subunit ribosomal RNA", at positions 507 to 807 of the family's 1533-position model. The record is from RNAcentral.
AGCAGUCGCCGCGGUAAAACGAACCGUGCGAACGUUAUUCGGAAUCACUGGGCUUAAAGCGCGUGUAGGCGGAUGGGAGCGUCGGCCUCUGAACUCCCCCGGCUCAACCGGGGAAGUGGAGCCGAAACGACCCGUCUGGAGGGACGUAGGGGGACCUGGAACUUCCGGUGGAGCGGUGAAAUGCGUUGAGAUCGGAAGGAACGCCCGUGGCGAAAGCGAGGUCCUGGACGUCUGCUGACGCUGAGACGCGAAAGCCAGGGGAGCGAACGGGAUUAGAUACCCGCGUAGUCCCUGUCUCUUAUU